Molecule: transfer RNA, 73 nt
Filed under: Microthrixaceae bacterium
Lineage: Bacteria; Bacillati; Actinomycetota; Acidimicrobiia; Acidimicrobiales; Microthrixaceae
Description: tRNA-Thr
Rfam family: tRNA
About the family: Transfer RNA (tRNA) molecules are approximately 80 nucleotides in length. Their secondary structure includes four short double-helical elements and three loops (D, anti-codon, and T loops).
Source: RNAcentral
GCCCAAGUAGCUCAGUCGGUAGAGCAAUUCACUCGUAAUGAAUAGGUCAGGAGUUCGAUUCUCCUCUUGGGCU